This 337-nucleotide unclassified non-coding RNA is filed under the name soil metagenome. RNAcentral describes it as "partial contains 5.8S ribosomal RNA, internal transcribed spacer 2, and large subunit ribosomal RNA". The stretch from base 1 to 120 matches the Rfam family "5.8S ribosomal RNA", at positions 35 to 154 of the family's 154-position model. The record is from RNAcentral.
GAUGAAGAACGUAGCGAAAUGCGAUAAGUAGUGUGAAUUGCAGAAUUCAGUGAAUCAUCGAAUCUUUGAACGCACAUUGCGCCCGAUGGUAUUCCGUCGGGCAUGCCUGUUCGAGCGUCAUUUCAACCCUCAAGCGCAGCUUGGUGUUGGGUGCUUGUCCCGCCUCCGCGCGGCGACUCACCUCAAAGUCAUUGGCAGCCCGCAUCCGCCGGCCGUGAGCGCAGCACAGUCGCGCCCUAGGCCCCGGCGGAUCGGCUCUCCAGAAGCUACCCCCCAAUGUUGACCUCGGAUCAGGUAGGGAUACCCGCUGAACUUAAGCAUAUCAAUAAGCGGAGGA